RNAcentral lists this unclassified non-coding RNA (1205 nucleotides) under Hevea brasiliensis (rubber tree). Lineage: Eukaryota; Viridiplantae; Streptophyta; Magnoliopsida; Malpighiales; Euphorbiaceae. The record is from RNAcentral.
AGCUCUUCUUCUAUCUCCCUUGCCCAAUACGCUUAAUUAAAAACACUUUUUAAUCCCCCAAUAUGGCUACAAAUUACAUUUCUGCCACUGUUUCUUCGAUCUUAUUGUUCCUAUUGUGUUCUUCUUCUCUCUUCGGAUCUUCCAUGGCUGCUCUAGUUCAGGAACAACCUCUUGUUCUUAAAUACCACAACGGUGCUCUUCUUAAAGGAACCGUCACCGUGAAUCUCGUAUGGUACGGUAAGUUUACCCCUGCCCAACGGUCUAUAAUAGUUGAUUUCCUUCAAUCGUUAAAUUCCCCAAAAGCCCCAAAUCCUUCAGCUGCUUCCUGGUGGAAAACUACUGAGAAAUAUAAAACUGGUGCCUCCACUGUUACCCUAGGAAAGCAAAUUCUCGAUGAAAAUUGUUCGUUAGGAAAAUCUCUUAAAAAUUCACAUAUUGUGUAUUUGGCUUCGAAGGGUGGUUACAUGGGUAGGUCGGUGAACUUAGUGUUGACGGCGAAGGAUGUAUUUGUGGAAGGAUUUUGUAGUAGAUGCGGGUCCCAUGGUUCAACUCGGGGUAAAGUCCGUUUUACUUACGCUUGGGUUGGUAACUCGGAGAUUCAAUGCGCCGGUCAGUGUGCGUGGCCGUUUCAUCAGCCUAUCUACGGCCCACAAACACCGCCUUUGGUUGCGCCGAACGGCGACGUCGGCGUUGACGGUAUGAUCAUCAACGUGGCAACGGUUUUGGCGGGAACCGUAACGAAUCCGUUUAACAAUGGAUACUUUCAGGGUCCUGCGACGGCACCGCUGGAGGCUGUUUCGGCUUGUACCGGUAUGUUUGGGUCGGGUUCUUAUCCUGGAUAUCCGGGUCAAACUUUGGUUGAUAAGAGUACGGGUGCUAGCUAUAAUGCGCAUGGGGUUAAUGGGCGUAGGUUCUUGCUCCCUGCGAUGUGGGACCCAACUAAAUCUGCAUGCUCGACACUAGUUUGAGAGUGAAAAAAAAAUCAGAGGGAGAUAAGAAGAACAGAAGAGGGUGGUGGGAUUGGGUGUGGAUGAGUCUACGUAUGUCCACUGUACCAUCAUGAUAAGAUGGACUGAGGAAUGGCAAGUGUGGGGGUGGGUGGGUGUCGUUUUGUAUGACUGUAUAUUCCUUUGCUUUUAUGUUUUUAAAAAUUUGUAAAAUCCAAUAAUUAUAGGACUAUAAUUAAUGAUAAUAUGAUCUAUAAU